GGCUCCAUCGUCUAACGGCUAGGACGUCACCUUUUCACGGUGAAAAUAGGGGUUCGAUUCCCCUUGGAGUCA
RNAcentral lists this transfer RNA (72 nucleotides) under Candidatus Harrisonbacteria bacterium. RNAcentral describes it as "tRNA-Glu". It matches the Rfam family "tRNA". Rfam says of the family: Transfer RNA (tRNA) molecules are approximately 80 nucleotides in length. Their secondary structure includes four short double-helical elements and three loops (D, anti-codon, and T loops). The record is from RNAcentral. Lineage: Bacteria; Candidatus Harrisoniibacteriota.